GAAAUGCGAUAAGUAAUGUGAAUUGCAGAAUUCAGUGAAUCAUCGAAUCUUUGAACGCACAUUGCGCUCGCCAGUAUUCUGGCGAGCAUGCCUGUUCGAGCGUCAUUUCAACCAUCAAGCUCUGCUCGCGUUGGGGAUCCGCGGCUGCCCGCGGUCCCUCAAAAACAGUGGCGGGCUCGCUAGUCACACCGAGCGUAGUAACUCUACAUCGCUAUGGUCGUGCGGCGGGUUCUUGCCGUAAAACCCCCAAUUUCUAAGGUUGACCUCGGAUCAGGUAGGAAUACCCGCUGAACUUAAGC
This 299-nucleotide unclassified non-coding RNA is filed under the name plant metagenome. RNAcentral's name for it is "partial contains 5.8S ribosomal RNA, internal transcribed spacer 2, and large subunit ribosomal RNA". The stretch from base 1 to 105 matches the Rfam family "5.8S ribosomal RNA", at positions 50 to 154 of the family's 154-position model. The record is from RNAcentral.